GCGAGGCUCCCGGGAGGCGGGGCCUGCGGGGGCGGGGCCCACGGGAGGGGCGUGGCCGUGAGCUGCUUGCUCGGGAUGUUGAAGUGGGAGUGUCUGCAGCGUUGGUGAAGAAUGGCCCCUCCGACAUCUGCGACGUCUGCAGGAAAGAGGCCGCGGAAGGCACGGGUGCUUCAGGGGAAGCACGGAGGAAUGGCCUGAGGGACAACCAGUGUACUGAAGACGGCGUUCCAAGAACCCACAGCAGCUGGUUACGGCUUCAUCCAUCCUACAGAGUGCAGACCCUGUUACAACUCCCGAACCAGAUAGCCUCCAGCACCCCGCCCUCCAAACGCUACCCUUGUGAAACUUGAAGGGGCCGUGGACAGAAGCCAGAGGAAGAAGGUGGAGACACAACACCCACGCACCUUCCCACGGCGAAUCUUGGAGUUUUAGAUGGCUAGUCCCGAGAACACUAGCCUCUCCCUAGCCCAGUUUAGAAACUUCUGAGGAUACAAGAUGAGUAGGCAGCAUAUGACGGCCUUGCCACAGGCAGUUGGUUUAGAGAGGUGGUCCAGUGGUUACCGGCGCUUGCUGCUCUCUAAGAGGAACUGGAAUUGGUUUCUAGCACCAUCUACAACUCCAGCUCCAAGGAAUCUGAUGCCCGUCUUCUGACUUCCUCAGGCACCGGGCAUGUGGGUGAUUCACAUAUGUCUAUGCCAACAAGACAUUCUUACACAUAAAAUAAGUCUUUAAAAAAAUCAAAACAGAAAAGUCAGUCUGGAGGACAAGGCUUAAAGGCAAGCAAGAGAGCUAGCUAACUCCUUCAUAAUGACUUCGUUUCCCGUACAUGUCUCAGGUGGCCCGGGGGAACAAAUAGAGCUUUUGGGAGUGGACCCAUCAAGCACCAUAGAAGCACAGUGUGUAUGAGAAGACCCUAAAAGGGUUGCUCAGAGAAGCCUAGCAUCCUGGACCCUGUUUGUUCUCCCAAGUUCAUUAAAUUUGUUUCCCUGGAACAAAAAGCUGGAACUUUUUCCAGUAGGAAGAAUUGUGGUUGAUUAAGAACGCACAUGGAAGGAGAAAACUACAAGUUUCCCCUGAGUACUUGGUACCCUGUUGGCAUAUUGUUUGGAAAAGAUUAGGAGGAGGUAUAUCACUCGAGGUGAACUAUAAGGUUUCAAAGACCAGGCCAUUCCCAGUUAGCUCCCUGACUCCUGCUUGUGGAUCAAGAUGUAAGCUCUCAGCUACUGCUCUAGUGCUAUGCCUGCCUGCCUACUGCUAUGCUCCCUGGCUAUGAUGUCAUGGACUCCAACCCUCUAAAAGCCCCAAAUAAAUGACUUCUUUUAUAAA
Long non-coding RNA from Mesocricetus auratus (golden hamster), 1326 nucleotides. RefSeq lists it as uncharacterized. The record is from RefSeq and is a predicted model, not a curated record. Lineage: Eukaryota; Metazoa; Chordata; Mammalia; Rodentia; Cricetidae. The transcript is spliced from 2 exons.